CCUACGGGAGGCUGCAGUGGGGAAUAUUGCACAAUGGGCGCAAGCCUGAUGCAGCCAUGCCGCGUGUGUGAAGAAGGCCUUCGGGUUGUAAAGCACUUUCAGCGGGGAGGAAGGCGGUGAGGUUAAUAACCUCAUCGAUUGACGUUACCCGCAGAAGAAGCACCGGCUAACUCCGUGCCAGCAGCCGCGGUAAUACGGAGGGUGCAAGCGUUAAUCGGAAUUACUGGGCGUAAAGCGCACGCAGGCGGUCUGUCAAGUCGGAUGUGAAAUCCCCGGGCUCAACCUGGGAACUGCAUUCGAAACUGGCAGGCUAGAGUCUUGUAGAGGGGGGUAGAAUUCCAGGUGUAGCGGUGAAAUGCGUAGAGAUCUGGAGGGAUACCGGUGGCGAAGGCGGCCCCCUGGACAAAGACUGACGCUCAGGUGCGAAAGCGUGGGGAGCAAACAGGAUUAGAUACCCUAGUAGUC
RNAcentral lists this ribosomal RNA (465 nucleotides) under uncultured Klebsiella sp. RNAcentral describes it as "bacterial SSU rRNA". It matches the Rfam family "Bacterial small subunit ribosomal RNA", at positions 338 to 795 of the family's 1533-position model. Lineage: Bacteria; Pseudomonadati; Pseudomonadota; Gammaproteobacteria; Enterobacterales; Enterobacteriaceae. The record is from RNAcentral.